RNAcentral lists this ribosomal RNA (433 nucleotides) under uncultured bacterium. RNAcentral's name for it is "partial 16S ribosomal RNA". It matches the Rfam family "Bacterial small subunit ribosomal RNA", at positions 29 to 507 of the family's 1533-position model. The record is from RNAcentral.
AGCGAACGCUGGCGGCAGGCCUAACACAUGCAAGUCGAACGAACUCUUCGGAGUUAGUGGCGGACGGGUGAGUAACACGGGGGAACGUGCCCUUUGGUUCGGUAUAACUCAGGGAAACUUGUGCUAAUACCGAAUGUGCCCUUCGGGGGAAAGAUUUAUUGCCAUUAGAGCGGCCCGCGUCUGAUUAGCUAGUUGGUGAGGUAACGGCUCACCAAGGCGACGAUCAGUAGCUGGUCUGAGAGGAGGACCUGCCACGCUGGGACUGCGACACGGCCCACACUCCUACGGGAGGCAGCAGUGGGGAAUCUUGCGCAAUGGGCGAAAGCCUGACGCAGCCAUGCCGCGUGAAUGAUGAAGGUCUUAGGAUUGUAAAAUUCUUUCACCGGGGACGAUAAUGACGGUACCCGGAGAAGAAGCCCCGGCUAACUUCGUG